UUUGUGUUCUACUGAAGAAACAAAGUCACCUACAUCUUGGAUGCCCUGGUGCAUCUUCCGCGGACUCCAUUUGCCAGCAUCCCUCUGGUUCCUCACCUGCACUCACUCGCCAAUCACCUGCACCUGAAACUCAUCACCUUGCUACUGUCACCCACCAUCCAUCUGCCAGUCUUCCAUCCACUCUCCACUCCUGCAAUAGAGACAUUGUUUACCAUUCAAGCUAAGUUCCAUCUCAAACGUUCUUCAGCAUCUCUACUUACCUGUAUUCUCCUCUGCCAGAUCCAUGCCUCUGUUUAAAUAAAACUACCUGUUAUUCACUUACCUGCCUGCCUCCAUCUGUGUUUGUGUGCCUGACACUGGUAAGGACAUAUUAUAAUAAUGCAAUAAAGUUUAACUCACUUGCAUCUGGUCCAUUGAUGAAGCCAUGGCUGCGUUCAGCCCUGACAAAAUGUUGCAAAAAGAUUUUUAAAUGGAAACGGUGAUGUGUUGAACACCCUGUUGUGAUGACGCAAGAGUUGCAACUAUGGCAGCUGAGAAGGCCAUUCUUUGUGUUCUUUCAGAAGAAUUUUCUGAGCCUGAUGAAAUCGGUAUAAAUGUGUUUAAUACUGCAAAAUAUGCUUUGUUACAGUCAGCGCAGAGGUAUGGCAAGCCAAAAGGGUCCGAAUUAUGCUAUAGAUUAAUCACGUCUACAGUCAAACGCUGUCAAAUAGGGCGUUUUAAACCGUAUUUGUGCCGCAAAAUACGCCGUUGUGAUUACAAACGCAGUAAAAAAAAUGUGUGAAAAUACGUCAAAGACGCCAAAUUUGGCGGCGUUUUAGUGUGCAUGAAAAGCGCCACUUUAUGCCAUCCAUCUUGCCAUAUGACACAGGGGGAAAAAAAACAGUGCACGCGUCUUUUACGACGUUUGCUUAUAGCAGGGAUGGGCAACUCCGGUCCUGGAGGUCCAGUGUCCUGCAGAGUUUAUCUCCAUCCCUGAUAAUUCACUUGCCUAUAACUUUCUACUAAUCCUAAAGACCUUGAUUAGCUGGUUCAGGUGUGUUUGUUUAGGGUUGGAGCUAAACUCUGCUGGGCAGUGGCCCUGCAGGACUGAAGUUGCCCAUCCCUGGCUUAUAGUAUGAGUUAUGCCCAUGAU
Molecule: long non-coding RNA, 1132 nt
Organism: Megalobrama amblycephala (Wuchang bream)
Lineage: Eukaryota; Metazoa; Chordata; Actinopteri; Cypriniformes; Xenocyprididae
Exons: 3
Source: RefSeq, a predicted model, not a curated record